GGAGCUGGUCUUGUGGGGCAGCCCUAAAAUGUAUCUCCAAGUGACCCUGCACUCAUCACUUGCUGCCUUGGACUUAGUUUCCUCAUUCGUAGAAUGGAGACACCACACUUUCUGAAGUGCUUAUGAGACUUGCAGGAGGCCAAAAUUUUCUACCUGUUUCGUUUAUUGCUAUACUCCUGGUGCUGAAGAUGGUGGGAUGAGGGAAAGGUCAUCACCAGUGAAAGUUCUGACACUUGCACUUCUCCGGCAAGCCAGGGCCGGGGCUUCACUGCCAGCCAGCAGGAGGAUGAGCCAGCUCUGCAGUUCCACUUCAGAGUCCAUCUUCUUGGAUCACUCUUGGCACCAACUGUAUUGAGUUGAGUUCUGGGAAAUAGACUUGCAGGGCUGCUCUUCUAGCUGGAGGAUCUGGAGCUGGAGGUCAGAACCCGCAGCUUUCUGGCCGAAGGACAUUAAGCCAGACAACUCAAACGUGUUGUAUUGCUCAUACUUUGGGUUUACCAUGAUCAUGUAGGCAACACUGAUUGAUGAUCAGUGCAACUAGGUCUGAAACAGGAUAUUCUUGUACUGAAGCUUAGUUUUAUGCAGAAUUACAUCUUAUCCUUCAGAUUCUAAGCUUAUUUCUGCACUGAUAAGUUGGCAUCUCGGUGGCCUCAGUUUCUGUGGGUUUUUACCCGGUUGAGAUGAGAAUAUUCCUUGCUCCCCUAAUGGAUUUCCAUUUAAUUUUCUUAAAACAAAAACAAUACUGUUUUUUAAAAGAAAGUGUUUUCAUGCAGUUUAAGUGUUAAAAAAUCAGUUUAAAAUUUUCACAGCAGCAAGAGCAGGAAGAACUCAGGUUAUAUGGUCUUGACCACACUUGCCGGCAUACAGCGUACUUUGUCCUGGGUGGGUGCUGAAGAAAAAUGGAGAACAAAACCAACUCCAUGACUGAAACACAAACUCAACCUUGCACAUGCAGCAAAUAGGUUGAGUUAAAAGAACAAUGAAAGAGAGCUCAGACUCAUUCUUGUUUUAGUGACUUUUUAGGUUUAUUUUUUUCCAACUGUGAUUUUAUCCAGAGUGUUAGUAUAAACUUAUGUGGUUAGAACUGUUACCAAAGGAUAGGAGAUCUAAUUCCAGAUCAACCAGUGAAAGUCGGGUAGUUUUAACCACCAACAUCUGCAACAGCUAAAUAAGAUCCAUGUUGCUUCUGUUACACAGUGUUUCCUACUGUAUUUUUGAAAAUGUGCUCAAUUGUCACAUAGUAAAAGCAAAUAUUGAGUAGCUUCUGAGGGACAGUGGUACUUUUAAAAAAGUGAUCCCAACUCCUAUGUUCUUUAGAAACAAUUCAAGUAAACAUAUUAAAUAAGAUUCCAAACCUUUCA
Homo sapiens (human) is the source of this 1361-nucleotide long non-coding RNA. Ensembl annotates it as ARGLU1 divergent transcript. Its record names the gene ARGLU1-DT. The record is from Ensembl. NCBI's taxonomy places the organism in Eukaryota, Metazoa, Chordata, Mammalia, Primates, Hominidae.